This 468-nucleotide ribosomal RNA is filed under the name uncultured bacterium. Its description in RNAcentral is "partial 16S ribosomal RNA". It matches the Rfam family "Bacterial small subunit ribosomal RNA", at positions 28 to 507 of the family's 1533-position model. The record is from RNAcentral.
GACGAACGCUGGCGGCGUGCUUAACACAUGCAAGUCGAACGGAAAGGCCCUGCUUUUGUGGGGUGCUCGAGUGGCGAACGGGUGAGUAACACGUGAGUAACCUGCCCUUGACUUUGGGAUAACUUCAGGAAACUGGGGCUAAUACCGGAUAGGAGCUCCUGCUGCAUGGUGGGGGUUGGAAAGUUUCGGCGGUUGGGGAUGGACUGGCGGCUUAUCAGCUUGUUGGUGGGGUAGCGGCUUACCAAGGCUUUGACGGGUAGCCGGCCUGAGAGGGUGACCGGCGACAUUGGGACUGAGAUAGGGCCCAGAGUCCUACAGGAGGCAGCAGGGGGGAAUAUUGCACAAUGGGCGGAAGCCUGAUGCAGCAACGCCGCGUGCGGGAUGACGGCCUUCGGGUUGUAAACCGCAUUAGCCUGUGACGAAGCGUGAGUGACGGUAAUGGGUAAAGAAGCACCGGCUAACUACGUG